GCCCGCUUGGCGCAAUGGUAGCGCAACAGGUUUCUACCCUGUAGGUUGCGGUUUCGAGUACCGUGGCGGGUU
This 72-nucleotide transfer RNA is filed under the name Talaromyces stipitatus ATCC 10500. Its description in RNAcentral is "tRNA-Arg (TCT) (tRNA-Arg-TCT-2-1)". It matches the Rfam family "tRNA". Rfam says of the family: Transfer RNA (tRNA) molecules are approximately 80 nucleotides in length. Their secondary structure includes four short double-helical elements and three loops (D, anti-codon, and T loops). Lineage: Eukaryota; Fungi; Ascomycota; Eurotiomycetes; Eurotiales; Trichocomaceae. The record is from RNAcentral.